AGUUAACGUUGGCGGCGUGCCUAACACAUGCAAGUCGAACGCGUCCUAAGGGCAACUUUAGGAUGAGUGGCGAACGGGUGAGUAUCACGUGGGUAAUCUUCCUUCAAGUGGGGAAUAAGCUCUCGAAAGGGAGUCUAAUACCGCAUGACAUUCCGGGACACAAGUCCCGUAAUCAAAGCCGCAAGGCGCUUGAAGAUGAGCCUGCGUCCUAUUAGCUAGUUGGUGGGGUAACGGCCUACCAAGGCUCAGAUGGGUAGCCGGCCUUAACGGGUGGUCGCCCACACUGGGAUUGAGAUACGGCCCAGACUCCUACGGGAGGCAGCAGUCGAGAAUAGUCUACAAUGGCCGGAAGGCUGAUAGUGCGACGCCGCGUGAACGAGGGAGCCCUUCGGGGUGUAAAGUUCUUUUCUAUACGAGCAGUGCUAUAUAUAUGGAUAGUAUAUAUAGAGGGAUAGUAGUAUAGGAAUAAGCAACGGCUAACUCCGUGCCAGCAGCCGCGGU
Molecule: ribosomal RNA, 501 nt
Filed under: uncultured bacterium
Lineage: Bacteria
Description: bacterial SSU rRNA
Rfam family: Bacterial small subunit ribosomal RNA
Source: RNAcentral